This 1851-nucleotide long non-coding RNA is filed under the name Homo sapiens (human). Its description in RNAcentral is "HSALNT0210709". The record is from RNAcentral. Lineage: Eukaryota; Metazoa; Chordata; Mammalia; Primates; Hominidae.
GAACAAAGAAAUCUGGCAGGACACACACAGGUACAGCAUGGACCUGCUUUCGGAGUUAUGCAUAAUGAUUUUUUAAGUUGGAGUGUGUUUGGAUGAGGAGGGACAAGAAAACUGCUUCUGCAGGGGAGGUGGUCCCCACUGCAGCUUCAUCUGUCCCUAGGCCACCUCCCUGCAGCCACCCCAGGCAGUCGUGCAGGACGUCAUGUCCUGGCUGCUUUCCUCUGAGUCACAGAGCUCGCCACAGCACUUCUUCCUCCGCCUCUUACAGGCCUGGCCAGCCAGGAAGUCACAACCACAGCUAAGAGGUUCUGUGCUGAGCAUCUACAGUAGCCCCCAAGUGAGGCCAGAGGUAGAUGGUAAUGGGUCUGAGGCUUGGGGCCAUUUCACAGGACAAUCAUCUCUAUACUUUUCAUUUUGGUUUUAGAACUCUGUGGGAUUUCUUUAUCUCAAAUGCCCUUAUCAGUCUGCAGAUCUCCUGAAGGCUCAUCUGGUUUGCUAGGUCUUAGUCUGCUCAAUACAGAUGAUAAGAUAGUGGGUGAAACAAGAGGUUUGGUAACAUAAGUUCCUGAUGACAUGAGUUGUACACAGUAUAUGUGCAAUUUCUCAACACAUGUUUGGCCUAAACACUUGCAAAUACACCAUCCUGAGCUAAGAGAGUGACUUUCUUUGAUUUUUUUUUUCUUUAAGCAAUGACACUAAUCCAACAACAAUCAUUGGAGAAUGCCUACUAUUUUCCAGGCAUUCUCACAAGACCACCAGAUUCAAUGUGAGAGAUCCCCUGCCCUCUAGAGUUUUACAGGUUAAUGGAAAGGGGUUUUUACCAAGAAGCGCAAAUCCAAAUUACUCGUUUCUUAUGUUAGCAACUUCACCCUCAGGAGUAAGCAGCAGCAGCAGCCAAGGGGCACACAGAGCCACAGGCUAAACACGGUCCACAGCUUCCUGAAAUCAAAGGGCUUCAAAGAUUUGGAAGACACAUUUCUUUUGAUUUUUAAAGCAACCACACACCUAUUCUGGAAUAGUGUACAAAAAUCACAUAGGCCAUCCCGACUCCUAACUGAAUCCCCUCUUCCACCGUCAGAGGACGAGGGCACUUUUUGGCAUGAUGGAGAGAAGCGAGGGGGCAGGGGUGGCCAGAGAGACGGCUGGAGUGGAGGCGGGGGCACCAGCGUGGGGUGAAGGCAGAGGCACCACGGGAAUGUAAAUUGCAGGACGCAUCCUGAGGCAGAGAGUCCUGCUCCUCGCUUAGCUCAGCACAGCGAGUCCCCUGGCUUCAGCUUCCCUCCUGAGCACCUGACGGUUGUCGGUUUACUGUGACUCACUGCCAUUCUAUCUGCCUGGGCUUAUGUUUCCAGCAUCUCACCAGAGCUGUUGUGACCCAUCUCCUGGGCAAAGCCUUCCACGGAGAGGCUGCCGGGCCAGCAGGAGAGGAGACCCAAUCCAUCCAUCAGCAUUUGAAUAAUUCCAUCCACACAUACUUCUCUUCCAAACACCCGGGCUAUUUUCCUUUCCCUGAGCCAUGCAAGCCCAAGGAGCCAGCAGGGUUGCGUGCUCUCAGGAGUAGGACACGUCACAUCAACUUGAGUGCUCCAGGAGCCCUGCCACAAUGGUUUCUUUGUGAGAUCAUCUUUGCAGCGGUUUCCUGAAGCUCUGGCCUCCUUCCUGGUAUCUUCACACAUUCUAGGUGUUUCAAUUCAGUAAAAACAUAAGGGCCUUUUGACUGCUCACUCCUGCACUUCACACUGGGAAGGACACAGAAGUCCCCAGAGAGUGCCCUGGACGACAAAAUGUAGUUCAGAGGUAUCUAAGGGAAAGGGGACCUGAGAGAAGCCUAAGAGAAAACUCCUGAUGCUU